This 130-nucleotide microRNA precursor is filed under the name Ricinus communis (castor bean). RNAcentral describes it as "miR167a stem-loop (rco-MIR167a)". Its record names the gene rco-MIR167a. It matches the Rfam family "MIR167 microRNA precursor family". The record is from miRBase by way of RNAcentral. Lineage: Eukaryota; Viridiplantae; Streptophyta; Magnoliopsida; Malpighiales; Euphorbiaceae.
AAAGGUGAAGCUGCCAGCAUGAUCUAGCUUUGGUUAGUGAGACAGCUGAAAGAAAGAUACAGAUAACACAUGGUAUCUAAGCAAUAGUGCUAACCCUAGCUAGGUCAUGCUCUGACAGCCUCACUCCUUC